GCCCUAGUAACGGCGAGUGAAGCGGCAACAGCUCAAAUUUGAAAUCUGGCGUCUUUGGCGUCCGAGUUGUAAUUUGCAGAGGGCGCUUUGGCAUUGGCAGCGGUCCAAGUUCCUUGGAACAGGACGUCACAGAGGGUGAGAAUCCCGUACGUGGUCGCUAGCCUUUACCGUGUAAAGCCCCUUCGACGAGUCGAGUUGUUUGGGAAUGCAGCUCUAAAUGGGAGGUAAAUUUCUUCUAAAGCUAAAUACUGGCCAGAGACCGAUAGCGCACAAGUAGAGUGAUCGAAAGAUGAAAAGCACUUUGGAAAGAGAGUUAAAAAGCACGUGAAAUUGUUGAAAGGGAAGCGCUUGCAGCCAGACUUGCCUGUAGUUGCUCAUCCGGGUUUUUACCCGGUGCACUCUUCUAUAGGCAGGCCAGCAUCAGUUUGGGCGGUUGGAUAAAGGUCUCUGUCAUGUACCUCUCUUCGGGGAGAACUUAUAGGGGAGACGACAUGCAACCAGCCUGGACUGAGGUCCGCGCAUCUGCUAGGAUGCUGGCGUAAUGGCUGUAAGCGGCCCGUCUUGAAACACGGACCAAGGAGUCUAACAUCUAUGCGAGUGUUUGGGUGUCAAGCCCGAGCGCGUAAUGAAAGUGAACGGAGGUGGGAACCCCUCGGGGUGCACCAUCGACCGAUCCUGAUGUCUUCGGAUGGAUUUGAGUAAGAGCAUAGCUGUUGGGACCCGAAAGAUGGUGAACUAUGCUUGAAUAGGGUGAAGCCAGAGGAAACUCUGGUGGAGGCUCGCAGCGGUUCUGACGUGCAAAUCGAUCGUCAAAUUUGGGCAUAGGGGCGAAAGAC
Molecule: ribosomal RNA, 836 nt
Filed under: Juxtiphoma eupyrena
Lineage: Eukaryota; Fungi; Ascomycota; Dothideomycetes; Pleosporales; Didymellaceae
Description: partial large subunit ribosomal RNA
Rfam family: Eukaryotic large subunit ribosomal RNA
Source: RNAcentral